This is an RNA transcript of Rosa chinensis, 1278 nucleotides long. RefSeq lists it as uncharacterized. The transcript has 8 exons. NCBI's taxonomy places the organism in Eukaryota, Viridiplantae, Streptophyta, Magnoliopsida, Rosales, Rosaceae. The record is from RefSeq and is a predicted model, not a curated record.
UGCAAAAUGAAGUGGCACUUUUGCCCUUUCUGUUUCGCUCAAUUACAAGUUUGCCAUUCUUCUACACCCUUCUUACGCGAUGGUUUCUAUUUUAGUCUGACGGUGGUGGUGUUUCACAAUAGAAAUCAUUUACCAGAGUCCAGAGUUUUUCUCAUAAUCUCAUCAUCAUCGAGUUCGAUCCCCACUGAUUCAGUAGAAGAAGAAGUCGAAGCAGUUUUAUACGAGACUAGAGUCUGUGAGAUUCAGAUCGGUGGAGAGAAGAGCGUUUCGUAUCGAAGAUCGCUGGGGUACGAGAAAGAAGAGGAGAGAUUGAAGAUUUUGGUCAAAGAGAUUAUAUGCAAAGAAGUGUGUGUAUUAUUCUUCUACCGCUGUUCCUCUGUACAUUGUUUGGAAGUAUCUCACCGUCUUAUUGCUAUUCAGAUCUAGAGGACAGCGUGCUGUCAGUCUCUUUUGCUGUUUCGGGUUUAGAUAGAAAUUUUACAUGUAGUUUUGUAUUCAAUUUACCGCUGAUAUUCAGUUUAUAUUAUGGAAAAGUGAUGGCACUAAAAACUGAUGAUGAGAGGAGCAAAAAGAUUGUUAGAACAGUGUGAUGCUGAAAAUCGUCAGAAUCAACAGAAAAUUCAACGAAUUUGCAGUGGUGAGGGCUUUGUUGCAACAAGAACUAGAUGUAAUAGUGUUGAUCAGGUUAAAUCACGUAGAUGCAAAACAGUGUCUUAUCCAGAAAUUGCUGAAGUAUCAAAUAGCAACGACCAAAAUAUCACUGCAGUUGCGAACGAAAAUCCGCAUAUGAUUACAGAAGGUCAAUACUCUCAUCCAUUUGGUCAGGCAUCAUAUCAAAGAAGCAAGCAAGGAUCAAUUGUAAAAUAUGAGGAUUCGGGUGAUAAUGUUCAUUAAUGUGAUUAUUGCAAUGCAUCUUUUUGGUUCGGAGAAGCUGUUAAGCAAUCAUCUUCAAAUGAGCCUGUUGCAAAAGAGGUCAAAUCAAAAUUGAGCAGCCAAAACCAACACCAAUUUUUCUUGAAAGAUUAUUAGAUCCAAACAAUGGUUCAGAAAGUAAACUUUUCAGAGAAAAUAUAAGAGUUUACAAUCAAUGUUCUCUUUUACAUCAAUGGGAGCGAAAAUUGAUUAUAAGAUAAAUACUGGAUCAGGUCCAUAUGUUUUUAAAAUUAGUGGUCAAGUCCAUCAUUUAAUGGGUUCUGUAUUACCUUCUGAUGGAGAAUGUCCUAAAUAUGCUCAGUUAUAUAUAUAUGAUACAAAAAAUGAGAUUUCAAAUCGUGUCAA